This 468-nucleotide ribosomal RNA is filed under the name uncultured bacterium. RNAcentral describes it as "partial 16S ribosomal RNA". It matches the Rfam family "Bacterial small subunit ribosomal RNA", at positions 28 to 507 of the family's 1533-position model. The record is from RNAcentral.
GACGAACGCUGGCGGCGUGCUUAACACAUGCAAGUCGAACGGAAAGGCCCUGCUUUUGUGGGGUGCUCGAGUGGCGAACGGGUGAGUAACACGUGAGUAACCUGCCCUUGACUUUGGGAUAACUUCAGGAAACUGGGGCUAAUACCGGAUAGGAGCUCCUGCUGCAUGGGGGGGGUUGGAAAGUUUCGGCGGUUGGGGCUGGACUCGCGGCUUAUCAGCUUGUUGGUGGGGUAGUUGCCUACCAAGGCUUUGACGGGUAGCCGGCCUGGGAGGGUGACCGGCCACAUUGGGACUGAGAUACGGACCAGACUCCUACGGGAGGCAGCAGUGGGGAAUAUUGCACAAUGGGCGGAAGCCUGAUGCAGCAACGCCGCGUGCGGGAUGACGGCCUUCGGGUUGUAAACCGCUUUCGCCUGUGACGAAGCGUGAGUGACGGUAAUGGGUAAAGAAGCACCGGCUAACUACGUG